RNAcentral lists this long non-coding RNA (211 nucleotides) under Musa acuminata (dwarf banana). RNAcentral's name for it is "long non-coding RNA (MACU_LNC011820)". The record is from RNAcentral. Lineage: Eukaryota; Viridiplantae; Streptophyta; Magnoliopsida; Zingiberales; Musaceae.
AGAGCCAUGCUUUUCUCAUUUGGUUUAACACCCAAGAGAAAUAGGUCUUUUCGGCUUUCAAGUGGGUCACUCUCUCGUACGUUCUCCCAUGUUCAAUGGUGUUAGGAUCGGAGCGGCACUAAGAGGGGGGGGGGGGUGAAUUAGUGCAGCGGAUUAAAACUUCGAUUUUAACAAGAUCUUUCGUACGUUAAGAACGAAACUUGAAAAAUUU